This 253-nucleotide ribosomal RNA is filed under the name uncultured bacterium. RNAcentral's name for it is "partial 16S ribosomal RNA". It matches the Rfam family "Bacterial small subunit ribosomal RNA", at positions 524 to 776 of the family's 1533-position model. The record is from RNAcentral.
UACGUAGGGUGCAAGCGUUGUCCGGAAUUAUUGGGCGUAAAGAGCUCGUAGGCGGUCUGUCGCGUCUGCUGUGAAAACUCAGGGCUUAACCCUGAGCUUGCAGUGGGUACGGGCAGACUAGAGUGCGGUAGGGGAGACUGGAAUUCCUGGUGUAGCGGUGAAAUGCGCAGAUAUCAGGAGGAACACCGGUGGCGAAGGCGGGUCUCUGGGCCGGAACUGACGCUGAGGAGCGAAAGCGUGGGGAGCGAACAGG